GCCGCCAUCUUGGCCAUCUUGAAAGGGGGGAACCGCCAACGUUUUUUAAAACUCAUGAAAACUGCUGCAAUAAAAGUUGAAGUACGUUGAUUUUAAAGAAAAUUAAACUGAAGCCAAGUCAGCAAACGAGCCAGAAGUUGUUUUGCCGGUUGACAGUCGCGCGACAAAGAUCCGCCCGGUUCCACUUUCAAGAAGAAGCGGUAAAAUGAGACGAUCGUCAUUUCCGUAUUUCCUAAACACUGCAUACAAAGAAUUCAUCACAGAAGAGGCUCAAUACAGAGGUCAGAGGAGGCAGCGAGCUUGUUGUUCUCCGGUGUUCCUACAAGAACCCCCCGGAACACUGCAGCACAGACUGAUCUAUACUCUGAAGGUCUGCGUGGUGAAAGCUGCUCCUCAGAUCUGCUGCGUCAGCUGUUUGUAAAACAUACAGCAUGAGCAUUUGUCUGCAAACCCACAGCAGGAGAAUCUCACCGGUGACUCUUAUGAAAAGGUCGAUAAUCAAUAACUGCUGCAGCCCUGCUCCAAUCACUGCUCUGAUCUGACUGGCUGCCACUCACUGAGAGACGGGAGAGAUUAAUAGAAGAAGAAACGAGAGUGUAAUGUAGAGUACAGAAGCAGAGGCACACAAAGCUGGAGCUGACCAAUCAGAAACAAAAGAUAAAGCCCAUCUGUUGAUUAGCAUCCCCUCAGAGAGACGCCUGAGAUCCAGACUGAGAAAGUGCCCUGUUCCCCUUUCAGAGAGCAGCCUGACCUGCAGCCUGCAGUUAAUAACGUGCACGGCUUUAUCUGCUGCUGCUGCUGAGGGCGCUUCAUCGCUCAGGAUCAGCUCACCCACAUCACACAAAACACACAGAUUUUAACCUCUGGUGUUAUUAAGACAUGAAGACGGUUACAUCUGAAGAUGUGUUUUAACAGAAACAAUAAGGACUGCUUCAAUACGAUAAGACAAAUUCCUUUAAGCGUCCUUGCUGCCAGCAGAAGACAAAAAGGUUUAUGAUAGAGGAGGAAACUACAGCAUGCCUGUUUUACCUUAGUUCACACCAUCAUUUGAACAGCAGGAGUUUGCUGGUUUAUCUGUCAUCUAAACUGGGAUCAGACAGAUUUCCACAUGCAGCGGAUCCGCUCGACCAAUCACAGCCGUUUAUCUGAUAAGGGGCAGGUUUGAUAAGAGACAUUUUCGUAAACAACCAAGAUGGCUGCCGCUCAUGUUUUCUCCACCAUCAGAACAAAUACGAGGACAUUAGAACACCUGCUGCUCUUCAGGUGUCGCAGAGAUUUGUUGGGAAAAAGUUUUUAAUAACCAACAAAGUUAAAGAGUUUUUUUUUUUUUCUUUUUAAUGCUUCACAGGUUUUACCCACCAAACCUGCAAAAACUGUAACGCUGGUAUUCAUUUUGGUGUUGCGCACAUACCAAGAAACUUUGGAACUGAUUGUCGCAAUUUAUUGCCGUUCUAUUUACACUCAGUCUGCAAUACGUUGGGAAAAUGUUAAACAUUACUCUUUAUUGUUAAGUCAAGUUCUUGAAAGAGAAUUAAAAUAAUCCAGGCUUUCCGGGGUGAACUGUCAAUAUAUUCUUUCCACGUCUAAGUGUAGAAAUGAAAAAGCUUUUAAAUCAUAUGACCUCCGUAAGCUUUACAAAACAUUUAUUUGAAUCUUUUUUGCUUUUGUUUUGGUUUUAUUUCCCCUUGACCUCCCCGGCUUCUUUGUGAUUCGUGUUUGUAGACUCAAUAGAUGUACAGAAGAUGUUGUUUACCUGCUUCAUGCUCGUGUUUAUGAAAAAACACCCGCACAUAAAGCUUUCGUUGAAGAUGUGA
This is a long non-coding RNA of Micropterus dolomieu (smallmouth bass), 1814 nucleotides long. RefSeq lists it as uncharacterized. The record is from RefSeq and is a predicted model, not a curated record. NCBI's taxonomy places the organism in Eukaryota, Metazoa, Chordata, Actinopteri, Centrarchiformes, Centrarchidae. The transcript is spliced from 3 exons.